This 465-nucleotide ribosomal RNA is filed under the name Vreelandella stevensii. RNAcentral's name for it is "partial 16S ribosomal RNA". It matches the Rfam family "Bacterial small subunit ribosomal RNA", at positions 338 to 795 of the family's 1533-position model. Lineage: Bacteria; Pseudomonadati; Pseudomonadota; Gammaproteobacteria; Oceanospirillales; Halomonadaceae. The record is from RNAcentral.
CCUACGGGUGGCAGCAGUGGGGAAUAUUGGACAAUGGGCGAAAGCCUGAUCCAGCCAUGCCGCGUGUGUGAAGAAGGCCUUCGGGUUGUAAAGCACUUUCAGUGGGGAAGAAAGCCUUGGGGCUAAUACCCUCGAGGAAGGACAUCACCCACAGAAGAAGCACCGGCUACCUCCGUGCCAGCAGCCGCGGUAAUACGGAGGGUGCGAGCGUUAAUCGGAAUUACUGGGCGUAAAGCGCGCGUAGGCGGUCUGAUAAGCCGGUUGUGAAAGCCCCGGGCUCAACCUGGGAACGGCAUCCGGAACUGUCAGGCUAGAGUGCAGGAGAGGAAGGUAGAAUUCCCGGUGUAGCGGUGAAAUGCGUAGAGAUCGGGAGGAAUACCAGUGGCGAAGGCGGCCUUCUGGACUGACACUGACGCUGAGGUGCGAAAGCGUGGGUAGCAAACAGGAUUAGAUACCCCAGUAGUC